AACGAGGCCGACCUGCGGCUGAGUUACCUGCGGAAGGAUCAUUAAUAAAUGUUACUUCGGUAACUUAAUUAAUCCCUAACACCUGUGCAUCUUGUCGCUUCGGCGUCAUUUUAUAAACAUCAGUGUAAUGAAUGUAACGUAUUAUAACAAAUACAACUUUCAACAACGGAUCU
RNAcentral lists this unclassified non-coding RNA (173 nucleotides) under soil metagenome. RNAcentral's name for it is "partial contains 5.8S ribosomal RNA, internal transcribed spacer 2, and large subunit ribosomal RNA". The record is from RNAcentral.